CUUGGUGCAUUUGGGAAUACAUACUCUUAUUGAGAAAUAUCCCUGAGGUUAUAAAUAUAAACUGGAUUACCUCGCUAAGGUAUUUGCCACUUUGAGACAGUUGCUGUGUUACCAUAGUUAUAUGAGAGCUGGGACACUGAGGGAGAAUUUCUCACAAUACACCCUUGACACAGAGAAUGAAAGUUGAUUUAAUAUGGGCAUGUCCUUCUCAAAUGGACAAUGUCUUUACAUUUUCUUUUUCCAUUGGGUGAGACUAAUGGUACCCUACCUCAAAGGAGAAAAUAAUGAAAAGGGACCCCAGAAUGUGUCUCAGGUUUCUCUCCAAGAUGAAAAAAAUUGGGGGAGCCAAGAAAGAAAAGACAGAGGAUCUUGUCACAGUUACUGUGGCUGCCUAACAAAUGACUCCUAAACUUAGUGUUUUAAAACAAUGACAACAUUUACUUUGCUUAUAAAUCUACAAUUUGAGCAGGGCUUGGUGGGGAUAAUUUAGUUUCUGCUCCAGCUGGCAUCAGCUGUGAGCACAAAAGGCUGGAAUCAUCUGAAAGCACUCUCACUCACAUGUUUGGAAGGUAUUGCUCGAACCUCAGCUGGGGCUAUUAGCCAGAAAACUUACAUGUGGUUUCCCUAUGUGGCCUGGGCUGCCUCACAACAUGAUGACUGGGUUUCAAAAGCUCCAAGGGCAAAAGUACAGACUGAGAGCCAGGAUGGGAACUUUAUCAUCUUUUCUAACCUAGCUUUCUAAGUCAUGUAACAUCACUUCAACUGCAUUCUACUAAUUAGAAGCAGGUAUCUAAAACUGAUUUAUAUUCAAAGGGUAGGGAAUUAAACUCCACUUUUUGUGGGAGGAUUCAAAGAAUUUGUGAAUAUGUUUUAAAACUACUACCAUCUGUCCACUGGCCACAAAUUAUCUACAUUCCUUCUGUAUGCAAAAUACACUCAGACCUUCCCAAGCUCCUCCACAGGUUUCAUUUAUUACGGCACCAGACUCAGGUUCACCAUCCAUUUUACUCAGAUCUAGAUGUGGAUGAAGUGUUGCAGGUGUGGUUCCUUGAGUUCAGCUGCUCAUGUACAGCUUCUGUUGAGUUGAACACCUCUGAACUGAAAAGACCAGUUUUCUGCUCCAACUCACCCAACAUAUGUUGGUGGGAGAGACAUAGGACAACCACUUUUCGACCAACAUGGGAAAAUGGGAGGUGCACAGGAGUCACUGGUCCAUAGCAAUACUGAAAUAUGGCCAACCACAUGUUUCCAGUUUGUCAAUCAAGUCUCAGUCACACUGCCUUGGAGCGAUUCACUGCCUCUUUGCCCUUCCCCUCUGUGCUCUUGUCCUCUUUCCUAUUAGUUAACUAUUGCUACAUAAUAAGUAAUUCCAAAACUUAGUGGUUUAAAACAAUGAUCACCAUUAUCUCUCUUUCUAGGGGUCAGAAAUUCAGGAGCAGCUGGAUGGCUCUGGUUCAAGAUCUCUUGCAAGGCUGCAAUCAGAUAUUGGCCAGGGAUGUAGCCGUCUGUAGGCUUGGAAUCCACUUCUCAGGUGGCUUCCUUACGUGGUGUUGGUGUAAUGGUUGGGUUUUGGGUAAUGGUUGGAAGCCUCAAUCCUUCUUUAUGUGGGCUUCUUUACAGGAAUUCUUGAAUGCUCUGGCUUCCCCCAGAACAAGCAAUCUAAGAAGGAGUAAGUUGGAAGCCACAAUGACUUUAUGACCUAGCUUUGAAGUCACAUAUUAUCACUUCCACUGAAUUUUGUUUUUAAAGAAGCAAAGAAUCAAUGUAGGAGGGGACUAUACAAGGAUGUAAAUGUCAGGGAGUAUUAGGGGCCAUCCACAAAGAUAUAUGACUAUGAAAUCAUGGAUAGAGGGACCAAAAAAAAUAGAAAUUGAACAGGUGCUCAUCAGCUAAUAAUGGAAGAUAUGUAAGAAGACUGGCAGACCCACGUGAAAGUCAAAGCUGUAUACAGAGACAAUAGGGAAAAGUCAAAUGGCUCAUUGUCUGUAUAAACAGAGAUCCCUGAAUAGUCUUGUAUUAACUGUCCCAGAUAGCAGUUCACAGUGAAAACGUAUUUUGGUGCUGAAUUUGUCACUCACAAUCUGAUUGAGUUUUGGGUGACUUUGCUGGCAUCCUAUUGUCAGAGAAUGCUGAGGAAAUCACUAUGACUUGCAGAAUCCAGAGUCCCUGUUUUCUCCGCCCUCUUCAGUUCUCUUCCAAUUAUCCAUGCCCAUCAUGUUCAACUCUCAAGUGUGCAGUGAUGCUCUUGUUCUGCCACCUCACUUCCCAGAAGUCUUGGAAACUAUCCCUAAGGGACCUGGUGAUGCUCUUCUCCACCCCAUCACUACAACCAGGCCUAAUCCACCCCAUCACUAUUCCCUAAAACCACACAAGUCAUCUUCUCCCAUGGACAAUUGUCAUUGCCAAGUGAAUAUUGAAUGUUAUCCUGACUCUGUAUGUGUACCCUUUGUGUAUCCCAUCUCAGGACAUGUUUUCCUAUGUGGACAUAUAGCUGUCCACUGCCCUCUUCUAGAUGUAACACCUCUCUUACUCUGGGAAUAUCUCUACAGUCUUCAUAGUGGCUAAGAACCCUCCAGGACACCUGUCCUUAAGGUCUCUGGAACCAGCACUGGGGCCUCCUCAUGGCAUCUAGGAAACAGAUUUUUACCAGUUUGUGUGAACAUUCUGGACUUGGAUUGGUACUUCUAAGGCCAAGACAUAAUCUUCAACCUACUGGCUACCCUAAAACACAUUUUCCAGAGCCAAUCAGUAUCUCAGUCCUGAACAGAACAGCCUUGACCCCCUUUCCCAGGUCAUGUAGAUAGGCACAUAGCCCUGGGAGAAGUAUAUGUGGUGUAAAACAUCUCCUGCCCUCAGCCUUGGGCUCAGUGAGUAAUCCAAGCAGUAUCUCAGGAUCAGGCUGUGUGGCUCCAGGAUCUUUCUCAGUCUGCACCUUGGGGUUUUCUCCUCUUGCUUUAGGCUGGGCUCCAUGCUGGGCUCAGAAGAGCUCUUCAGAUCCCUGUGGUGUGCUUUAUAGUAUUUUUGAGACCUCUCUCAUCACACAGUGACUCCUCUGAUGUCAUCAGCAAGCUUUGAAGGCUCCAUUUAAAGUCUUAUUAUUUUCCUGAUGGGGAAGGUUAUAUUCAAUUAGUCCCAAAGGUCCAAAGAAAGACUUCAGACUGAAGACAGACAAACCUUU
Equus asinus (donkey) is the source of this 3178-nucleotide long non-coding RNA. Lineage: Eukaryota; Metazoa; Chordata; Mammalia; Perissodactyla; Equidae. The record is from Ensembl.